Molecule: non-coding RNA, 103 nt
Filed under: Planococcus rifietoensis
Lineage: Bacteria; Bacillati; Bacillota; Bacilli; Caryophanales; Caryophanaceae
Description: SAM-I sequence
Rfam family: SAM riboswitch aptamer (S box leader)
About the family: The SAM riboswitch is found upstream of a number of genes which code for proteins involved in methionine or cysteine biosynthesis in Gram-positive bacteria.
Source: Rfam by way of RNAcentral
UUCUUAUCGAGAGAGAUGGAGGGAUUUGGCCCUGUGAAGUCUCAGCAACCGGACGUGUUUGUCACGGUGCUAAUUCCAAUAGGUGAAGCCUAGUAGAUGAGAA